UACGAAGGGUGCAAGCGUUACUCGGAAUUACUGGGCGUAAAGCGUGCGUAGGUGGUUCGUUAAGUCUGAUGUGAAAGCCCUGGGCUCAAUCUGGGAACGGCAUUGGAUACUGGCGAUCUGGAGUGCGGUAGAGGGUGGCGGAAUUCCCGGUGUAGCAGUGAAAUGCGUAGAUAUCGGGAGGAACAUCCGUGGCGAAGGCGGCCACCUGGACCAGCACUGACACUGAGGCACGAAAGCGUGGGGAGCAAACAGG
This 253-nucleotide ribosomal RNA is filed under the name uncultured bacterium. Its description in RNAcentral is "partial 16S ribosomal RNA". It matches the Rfam family "Bacterial small subunit ribosomal RNA", at positions 524 to 776 of the family's 1533-position model. The record is from RNAcentral.